Molecule: ribosomal RNA, 465 nt
Filed under: Vreelandella stevensii
Lineage: Bacteria; Pseudomonadati; Pseudomonadota; Gammaproteobacteria; Oceanospirillales; Halomonadaceae
Description: partial 16S ribosomal RNA
Rfam family: Bacterial small subunit ribosomal RNA
Source: RNAcentral
CCUACGGGUGGCUGCAGUGGGGAAUAUUGGACAAUGGGCGAAAGCCUGAUCCAGCCAUGCCGCGUGUGUGAAGAAGGCCUUCGGGUUGUAAAGCACUUUCAGUGGGGAAGAAAGCCUUGGGGCUAAUACCCUCGAGGAAGGACAUCACCCACAGAAGAAGCACCGGCUAACUCCGUGCCAGCAGCCGCGGUAAUACGGAGGGUGCGAGCGUUAAUUGGAAUUACUGGGCGUAAAGCGCGCGUAGGCGGUCUGAUAAGCCGGUUGUGAAAGCCCCGGGCUCAACCUGGGAACGGCAUCCGGAACUGUCAGGCUAGAGUGCAGGAGAGGAAGGUAGAAUUCCCGGUGUAGCGGUGAAAUGCGUAGAGAUCGGGAGGAAUACCAGUGGCGAAGGCGGCCUUCUGGACUGACACUGACGCUGAGGUGCGAAAGCGUGGGUAGCAAACAGGAUUAGAUACCCUAGUAGUC